CCUACGGGAGGCAGCAGUGAGGAAUAUUGGUCAAUGGGCGGGAGCCUGAACCAGCCAAGUCGCGUGAGGGAAGACGGUCCUAUGGAUUGUAAGCCUCUUUAGGCGGGGAGCAAUGCCGGGCACGUGUGCCCGGAGGGAGAGCACCCGCAGAAUAAGCAUCGGCUAACUCCGUGCCAGCAGCCGCGGUAAGACGGAGGAUGCUAGCGUUAUCCGGAUUUAUUGGGGUAAAAGGGUUCGUAGGCGGAUUUUUAAGUCAGCGGUAAAAUGUACGGGCUCAACCCGGGCCGGCCGUUGAAACUGGGGAUCUUGAGUGGGCGAGAAGUAUGCGGAAUGCGGUGUGUAGCGGUGAAAUGCAUAGAUAUCACGCAGAACCCCGAUUGCGAAGGCAGCAUACCGGCGCCCGACUGACGCUGAGGCACGAAAGCGUGGGGAUCGAACAGGAUUAGAUACCCGUGUAGUC
This 460-nucleotide ribosomal RNA is filed under the name uncultured bacterium. Its description in RNAcentral is "partial 16S ribosomal RNA". It matches the Rfam family "Bacterial small subunit ribosomal RNA", at positions 338 to 795 of the family's 1533-position model. The record is from RNAcentral.